CUUUAGGUGGGUCAAGGGAGCGUAGCUCCUUGUCGUAAAGAUGAGCUUUGCUCAUCUGCGAAAUUAAUAUGGAGAGUUUGAUCCUGGCUCAGAGUGAACGCUGGCGGCGUGCCUAAUACAUGCAAGUCGAACGGAGAUUAAGUAGCUUGCUAUUUAAUCUUAGUGGCGCACGGGUGAGUAAUGUAUAGCUAAUCUGCCCUAUGCAGGAGGACAACAGUUAGAAAUGACUGCUAAUACUCCAUACUCCUUCUUAACAUAAGUUAAGUCGGGAAAGUUUUUCGGCAUAGGAUGAGGCUAUAUUGUAUCAGCUAGUUGGUGAGGUAAUGGCUCACCAAGGCUAUGACGCAUAACUGGUCUGAGAGGAUGAUCAGUCACACUGGAACUGAGACACGGUCCAGACUCCUACGGGAGGCAGCAGUAGGGAAUAUUGCUCAAUGGGGGAAACCCUGAAGCAGCAACGCCGCGUGGAGGAUGACACUUUUCGGAGCGUAAACUCCUUUUGUUAGGGAAGAACCAUGACGGUACCUAACGAAUAAGCACCGGCUAACUCCGUGCCAGCAGCCGCGGUAAUACGGGGGGUGCAAGCGUUACUCGGAAUCACUGGGCGUAAAGGACGCGUAGGCGGAUUAUCAAGUCUCUUGUGAAAUCCUAUGGCUUAACCAUAGAACUGCUUGGGAAACUGAUAAUCUAGAGUGAGGGAGAGGCAGAUGGAAUUGGUGGUGUAGGGGUAAAAUCCGUAGAGAUCACCAGGAAUACCCAUUGCGAAGGCGAUCUGCUGGAACUCAACUGACGCUAAGGCGUGAAAGCGUGGGGAGCAAACAGGAUUAGAUACCCUGGUAGUCCACGCCCUAAACGAUGUAUACUAGUUGUUGCUAAGCUAGUCUUGGCAGUAAUGCACCUAACGGAUUAAGUAUACCGCCUGGGGAGUACGGUCGCAAGAUUAAAACUCAAAGGAAUAGACGGGGACCCGCACAAGCGGUGGAGCAUGUGGUUUAAUUCGAAGAUACGCGAAGAACCUUACCCGGACUUGAUAUCCAACGAAUUCUGUAGAGAUACGGAAGUGCUAGCUUGCUAGAAUGUUGAGACAGGUGCUGCACGGCUGUCGUCAGCUCGUGUCGUGAGAUGUUGGGUUAAGUCCCGCAACGAGCGCAACCCACGUAUUUAGUUGCUAACGGUUAGGCCGAGCACUCUAAAUAGACUGCCUUCGCAAGGAGGAGGAAGGUGUGGACGACGUCAAGUCAUCAUGGCCCUUAUGUCCGGGGCGACACACGUGCUACAAUGGCAUAUACAAUGAGACGCAAUAUCGCGAGAUGGAGCAAAUCUAUAAAAUAUGUCCCAGUUCGGAUUGGAGUCUGCAACUCGACUCCAUGAAGCCGGAAUCGCUAGUAAUCGUAGAUCAGCCAUGCUACGGUGAAUACGUUCCCGGGUCUUGUACUCACCGCCCGUCACACCAUGGGAGUUGAUUUCACUCGAAGUCGGAAUGCUAAACUAGCUACCGCCCACAGUGGAAUCAGCGACUGGGGUGAAGUCGUAACAAGGUAACCGUAGGAGAACCUGCGGUUGGAUCACCUCCUUUCUA
RNAcentral lists this ribosomal RNA (1579 nucleotides) under Campylobacter mucosalis. RNAcentral describes it as "bacterial SSU rRNA". It matches the Rfam family "Bacterial small subunit ribosomal RNA". Lineage: Bacteria; Pseudomonadati; Campylobacterota; Epsilonproteobacteria; Campylobacterales; Campylobacteraceae. The record is from RNAcentral.